UUUCUUGCGUAAGGGCAGUAUCAAAAGCAAUGAGGGCAACCGAGCUGUGAUUAUUGCUAGAUGAAAACUUAAACCAAACAAUUUAUAAUAAAAGUAUUUGCAGAUUGAACAAAAU
RNAcentral lists this small nuclear RNA (115 nucleotides) under Megaselia scalaris. RNAcentral describes it as "U4 spliceosomal RNA". It matches the Rfam family "U4 spliceosomal RNA". From Rfam's summary of the family: U4 small nuclear RNA (U4 snRNA) is a component of the major U2-dependent spliceosome. The structure of U4 snRNA from yeast and human has been reported. Lineage: Eukaryota; Metazoa; Arthropoda; Insecta; Diptera; Phoridae. The record is from Rfam by way of RNAcentral.